Molecule: small nucleolar RNA, 107 nt
Organism: Dioscorea cayenensis subsp. rotundata (Guinea yam)
Lineage: Eukaryota; Viridiplantae; Streptophyta; Magnoliopsida; Dioscoreales; Dioscoreaceae
Source: RefSeq, a predicted model, not a curated record
AAACCAUGGUGAGGGCAUUUCCUCAAAAGGUCCUUAAACCUUUUAUUGGCAUCGAAGAGUAUCUCUAAAUCACCUUGCCCGAAAGCAGAAAUCUCUUAUCUCAAUCU